RNAcentral lists this ribosomal RNA (164 nucleotides) under uncultured bacterium. RNAcentral describes it as "partial 16S rRNA". It matches the Rfam family "Bacterial small subunit ribosomal RNA", at positions 355 to 511 of the family's 1533-position model. The record is from RNAcentral.
UAGGGAAUCUUCCACAAUGGACGCAAGUCUGAUGGAGCAACGCCGCGUGAGUGAAGAAGGUCUUCGGAUCGUAAAACUCUGUUGUUAGAGAGGAACACGAGUGAGAGUAACUGUUCAUUCGAUGACGGUAUCUAACCAGCAAGUCACGGCUAACUACGUCCCAG